GAGUUUGAUCAUGGCUCAGGAUGAACGCUGGCGGCGUGCUUAACACAUGCAAGUCGAGCGAGAGCUAUCAAUUGGAGGGCUUCGGUUCAAAGAGAGAUAAGGAAAGCGGCGGACGGGUGCGUAACGCGUAGGUAAUCUGCCCAUAUCAUCGGGAUAACACAACGAAAGAUGUGCUAAUACCGAAUAAAAUACAUUUAUGGCAUCGUAGAUGUAUCAAAGUGUUAGCGGAUAUGGAUGAGCCUGCGUCUGAUUAGCUAGUUGGUGGGGUAAAGGCCUACCAAGGCAACGAUCAGUAGCCGACCUGAGAGGGUGAUCGGCCACACUGGAACUGAGACACGGUCCAGACUCCUACGGGAGGCAGCAGUGGGGAAUAUUGCACAAUGGGCGAAAGCCUGAUGCAGCAACGCCGCGUGAACGAAGAAGGCCUUCGGGUCGUAAAGUUCUGUU
This 447-nucleotide ribosomal RNA is filed under the name Proteocatella sp. canine oral taxon 058. RNAcentral describes it as "bacterial SSU rRNA". It matches the Rfam family "Bacterial small subunit ribosomal RNA", at positions 9 to 437 of the family's 1533-position model. Lineage: Bacteria; Bacillati; Bacillota; Clostridia; Peptostreptococcales; Filifactoraceae. The record is from RNAcentral.